UGUGACCUUUGUAUACCCGUC
RNAcentral lists this microRNA (21 nucleotides) under Monodelphis domestica (gray short-tailed opossum). RNAcentral describes it as "mdo-miR-7393-3p". The record is from miRBase by way of RNAcentral. Lineage: Eukaryota; Metazoa; Chordata; Mammalia; Didelphimorphia; Didelphidae.